AUGUAUAUUGUUUAAAUUCCUCUAACAUUGCAAAAAUAUUCAAAAGUGAUCUAAAUUACCAACUCAUCUUGUGUGUUUUGUGUAAAAGUUUUUAAACAUGAGCGAAGACAGUUCUACAGGUAGUGACAGUGAUACUGGCAAUGAAGAUAACAGAACAGCGAUGGCACUGUUUACAGCCAUUUAUAAAAACGAUUGUGACGAAAUCCGAAAACUUGUCUCAAAAAAUCGGUCAGUGGUGAAUUUUAAUAUGAACGGUACUACCCCUCUACAUGCCGUUUUGAAACAAGCGAUUAAGGCCAAAGGAUCUAAAAAGCCUUUAAUGGAAGCUAUAAAGGAGUUACUGAAAAACGGAGCCAAUCAGGAAGCAAAAAAUGAAAAAGAUGAAUCGGCUGUAGACGUAGUAACAAAACGAUUAAAGAAAUAUCCAGAUGAUUCAGACUGGAAAUCAAUAAAUAGUCUUUUUGAUAGGUCUAAAGAAAAAACUCAAUUGUCUUCAAAAACAGUACAAGCUGACGAUAAAAGAUCGGUCAAUAGAAUGUUAACAUUGGUUCAGACACAGUCAGAUGCUCCAACUACAUCAAAAACGAGACCACCUGGAGAAACUUAUGCAGUCUCAGGCUUAAAAACUUCUCUGCACGGUACCAUCUAUCAAUUACAGCUUCUCAUGUCACUUCUCAAUCGCGGUUUGAAUAAAUACGACCACUUUGAUUUGGCGACGGAAAUGAACAAAGCAGAAAAAUUUGACGACGCAGUGAUUCGGUACAAGACCUCUCAAAAUGAACAGUGGUCCUGGCGAUUUUUUCAAGCUAAACACAAACAGGACGUCCAGCGAGAUAGGAUAACGGUCAACGAUUUAUUAACCGAAUCAGACGGCCCUUUUAGCAUUCAAAAGUACUUUGUUUCUUUCUGUAAAAUCAAGAGCAGCGUCAUGUUUGACCAAUCGAACUUGGAAGAGUUUGACCUUUGCACAAACACCGAUUUUGAUUUUUCGGAAAUUAAAAAACGGAAAAACGAUGGAAACUUAACUCCCGCCGCACAGCAAAAAAACGAUUUGGUAAAUUUGUGGAAAAACUUAUUAGAGCUGGAGAAUUUAGAAAGCGAUGUAUUUUUAUCAUUUCCUAAUAUAACGAAUGCUAAAAAAUAUAAGUUUAGUGAUAACGCUAUCCCAUCGUUGUCUAAACUUUUAAACUCCAAUUUCCUGAAAAAAUCAUUAGAAUUGGAAAAACUCAAAGAAUUGAAGUCAGUGAUGGAGACGCUACAAGCGACACAAGUAAUUGAAGAUUUAAAGGAAAUAUUAAAAGAAAUAGAAUACAAUGUUCUUGAAUUAGAAGGUUCAUUAAAUAACAAUAAGAGCGAAAAAGGUAAAUAUAUUUCACUUGCUAACAAAUUAUUAAAUGUGAAAAAUAAAUUUAUGAGUAGCAGUAGAUACGACUAUUUAAAAAAAAUAAUUGUAAAAUUUAAAAAAAUUGAUGUAAAAGAUCAAAAUUAUUUUUCGGAAAGACUCAAAGUUUUUGAUGUUUCAAAAGAUCUGUUAAAGGAGAAUUUGAGUUUUGUGUCAGAGGCUGAGAAUAAACUUUUUUGUUUUGAGGAUAUUUCAUCAUCGGAACAUCAAGCUCUAAAAAAAGACAUAUGCACGAUAAUAGAAACGAAAGAAAGGUAUAUUGAUUUCAGUGAUGAAAUAGUAAAGUCUAAAGAUCUUUCUAUCCUAAAAAGCAACCUAUAUCGAUUUCCCUAUUUUCAGAAGAAUUUAGAUAAUUUUGAGAAAAAAGGUUUGGGUUUGGAUAGCGUUAAAGAAAAAUUGUUGGAUAAUUUAGAAAAUGAUAUUUCUGAUCUUGUUAUGUUAGAACUAAUAUUAAAUAAUAUCAAACUAGAAGAAUUUUUGAAAGAGUUUUUACGAAAGUUUAGAUUCGUAGUUUGUUACCCCGAUGUGGAUCGGCUCAAUCUGCUUAUAAAGAAAGAAAUGAGAAAUAAGUAUUCUUUUAUAAAUACUGAUUUAAUAACAGAUUCUUUUCAAAAGGAAAUGCUCGAUUGGUUUAAAGAUUAUAAAGAAGGCCGAAGUGAAUAUUUAUCUAAAGACAGAGGUGUGGAAUUUUUUCAACACAUUAAUCUAAAAAUAAAAUCCUUAAUGGUGUCAGGUUUAAAUAAAGCUUAUCCAGAAAAAUUAAAGGGAUUCAAUAUUUCAUUCGAACGUUCAAUAUUGACUGAUUUUUUGUCCUCUGAAAACAAGUUCGUGCAUUUAUCGACUAAACGCACUAGGCUAAGUGCCAUUAAAGUCUUACAAGGCAUAACCGAAUCAGGAUUAUAUAAGGAACAUGAUAGUUUUAUAUUUAUUCCUUUAGAGAAUCUAAGCAGAUCAGAAACUCAAAAACUAGUCAUUGAUACUUUUGGUGCAAUUGGAAGACAUGAUCUUCUUGUCAUCGAAUGCUAUCCUGAAACUUACAGCAAUUUUCCUUUACCUUAUUGGCAAGAGUUUAUUGAUAAUGUACAUUCCAUAUUAAUAAAUAACAAAGAAAAAAAGAUAAUUUUAAUAGGAGGACAAUUUGAUGAAUUAGCAACGCUGUUUAAAAGUUUGAAUAUUUCUGGAACUGAAAUGCUGCAAGACGAGUCAUCUUUUAAGUGUUUAAGCCACGAAUCUCAAUUUAAACUAUUACAACAACCAGUUACCUUUCAAGGAGAAAGAAUGUCGAUUAAUCAAUUGAUCGGUUUAGAAUGUGCUAGGAAAAUCAUUAAUGAAACACAUUUAGAUGAUCUUAUUAAUGGGAAAAUCAUUAGUUUGGGAGACGAAAAGGCUUUCAAAUUUACGGAUUGUGCUUUUGACUGUUAUGUGCCACGAUCGUUGCAUAUGCAGAAGCUUAAAAAAUGUGUAUUUGGCAUUAAGCGAAGUAUUUUCUUUCUUACUUGCGUCAGUAACAGUAAUAUAUAUCCUUUUAUCGAAAAUCUUCCCACAUACGAAUGGGUUGAAGGAACUAUAUAUUCUUAUGGAAUCAUAUAUACAAAACAAAGCGAUGACCCUAUUCGAGUUUUUAAUAAAAUUUGUACUAGCCAUCCGGAAUUGGCAGUUUACUGGAUACAUCAAAUUCAAAAUGAUUUUUUUUGGAAGGUGGCUACAAAAAAUGUUGAUCAAAUACAAGAUUGUGUAGAAUUGGAAUAUGAGUUAUCUGACGACCAGUUAUUUACAGAAGAAAAUUUUGUUAAAGAUUUUUCUAAUAAAGUUAUGUUGCUUGCCAAUGGUCCCGGAACUGGAAAAUCUACAUUUUUAGCAAGUGUCGGUAAAAGACUGAAAAAGAAACAUAAUAUGUGGUGGAUUGCGAGAAUUAACUUAAACGAUUAUGCAUUUGAGAACGAAUUACUACAUUCUGACGAUCUCAGAAAAUACACGAGAAGUGUAAAUGAAAUCCAUGAGAAUAUCAAUACUACGGAAGCCAUUGAAGUUAUUUCGGAAAUGGUAAUUCCUCGAAGUCCUCUCAUCUUUAAUAACGAUUUUCAAAGAGAAAUAUUUAAAGAAGGUCUACGAAAUGGUAACGCGGAACAAAUUACUCCAAAAAUUGUAAUUCUUUUUGAUGGUUUUGACGAAAUCAGUCCUCACUAUAAAGAAAAAACUGCGAAGCUUAUCACAGAAAUUAGCAAGACAAAUAUUCAAAACAUUUGGAUUACAACUAGAAUGAACGAAAAGGAUUUUCUAGAACGAGCAUUUUCUACGCCGGCGUUUAUGUUAAGUCCUUUUAACGAACAACAGCAAAUUAAUUUUUUGAUGAAUUUUUGGAGGCACAAUUUUAAAAAUGAAUUAGGAAACAUUAGUAAUCAAAAUAUAUAUCUGUUUGAAGAAACAAUAAAAAAAUAUGUGACUACAAUUCAAAAGAACUUACUUUAUAAUGAAGAAAGAGAAGAUUCUUUGAUCUCCAUUCAGUGUGCAGAUGAUAUAUUUGCUCUCUUCAACUUUACGCAUUUUGCACACCAGUUAGUCGACCAAUGGAAAAAUUCAGUUAAGGAUACAGCAACCGCUUUUACAAAUAAUCCUCUUCAAUUGAAAAUGUUGGCUGAAAUAGUAUUUUGGGAAAAUUUUGAACUGAUUGGGAAUUUAAGUUUACUGGAAUUAUUCAACAGGUUUAUUGAUAGAAAAUUUGCUAUAUUUUAUGAGCAAAAAAGUAUUUUAGGAGUAAGCACGGGCUCAGCUGAAAUUCGAGAAGAUCAUUCACAGAUUCUUCUACACAAACAUGAUUUAAUUGCUUUUCAAGAGAUAUUUCCAGACCAUACUGAGUACAUGGAAAACAUAAAUAUCGAGAGAGAAAUUUCAAAAUUAACUCGAGUUGGACUGUUAGUGAAGAACGAGUCAAGAUUAAUUUUCGUACAUCGAAGUUUUGCAGAAUAUUUUGUGAGUGGAUAUUUAACCAAGAAUUUAAAUAUGACAGAAGUCCAAAAUAUUUUGUUCAAAUAUGUAUUUUCUUACGAAGAUUAUUUAGUCGUUGCGUUAUUCCUCGAUCAACGGCUUGGAAAAGAAACGCAUGGAAUGAUAUUGCAGGAACCGGCAAUUGCAUACAUUAAUGAAGCAAUUUCCAAGCAAUUUAUAGAAAUUUUUACACAUCAUUUAGCACUAAAUAACUUAUCUAAUACCCUCAAAUUUAUUUUGAGGGUCCUUUGCGAAUAUCCAGCCUUAUUGGAAAGUGUGCUUUUAAAGGACGGGAUAUACGGUAAAUUUUUAUUAUUUGAGUUAGUAUAUGAUCCAAUUGGUAGAUAUAACUUUUCAGAAAGUUCUAACAUAUUAAAUGCCAUCUUGAUGACCAUUAAUGAUCAGGAUGAUCUUCUGCUGAAACUAUAUACAAAAAAAGUUCUAGAAGGACUAGUUCUUCUCGAUAGUAGACAAGCUAAUAUAACAAUUUUACAAGUUACUUUACUGUCUUCUUCUAACAAGAAUAUGUUUCAGUUGUUACUUGAUUUCGUCCGUUCAAAAAUGUACAUUCUUCGCCAGAUUCUUUUCCAGAGUGGAGACGAACUAGGGACCUUAUUACAUUUUUGUUGUAGGUAUGCUUCCAGAAAACUAAAGUUCUUUUUGGAUUGUUUAAAUUUGUCUGAAACGUGUGUAGGUUCACCGCAUUUUGAUCUACUGAGCGAACUAAUUUUAUCCAAAGAUGCACUAGGUAGCACAGCAUUGCAUUUGCUGGCAUUUAGAAAUCGUUCAGAGGAUAUUCAGUUAUUUCUGGCAUGCAUAAAAAACUUUUCAGAGAAACUUUUGACAGAACUACUACUAUCCCGCGAUAAGAAAAGUUUAACUGUUCUAGAUAUAGCAGUGUACAGAAACUACUCGGAAACUACAGUUGUAUUACUCGAUUUUUUGAAGCAUCGGAAAGAAUUUAAAGCUGUAGUUUUUCAAAACGGGCUCGAAAAUAAUAUUUUAUAUAGAGCUAUAUGUCAAGGUAAGGAUACUAGUAUGCUGGCAUUGCUUGACUGGCUUCAUUCCGCCUGUCUCGAUUCAGGUGAUCUUUGUCUAAUGGAUUUUUUAUUUGAAAAACAUCCUGUCGAUGGUAGAACAUCUCUCGGUAUAGCUGCGGCUAGAAAUUUCGGUUCAACUUUAUUCCGCUUACUGGAAUGGCUAAAUGGAACUAAUGACGAUCGCUGUACAAAUAGAUUUUUACUUCAGCUAUUAGCUUCAACUUCUCCAGAUCAUGACGGAAAAACUGCUUUGCAUCAAGCUGUAUAUUGGGAAUCGGAGGAUGCAUUAAAAGUUAUUGUGGAAUACAUUAUAGAAAACUUUGAUAUCGAAGCUCUGGCAACACUUCUGCUAGCUACAGAUAAGUUCUAUGAUACACCAAUGGAUUUAGCUAAGAACGAACAAACAAAAACAAUUCUGCGUCAAGGAUAUGAUAUGAUUAUUUCAACUCUACUUUCAGUAUCAGAGAACCUGAAUGCAUCCGAUACUGCAUUUGUUUUAUUUCUGGAUCACCUUAACGUUCUGGAAAAUUUUGUUAACAGGCAUGUGGAACACAGGCAGAGAGAAGCUUUGGACGCAAUCGUUAAAUUGAAACGUAUGUCAACGACUUUAAAGAAGUACAAACGCAGACCAGCGGAAUUAAAAUUUUAGCACUUAUGGAUCUAGUGGAAUAAUAGAUUAAAUGAUGGAUAAUGAGUGAUACUGAAAUAUAUCAAACUGAUAGCAAAGUGAGAAUUGAUCACAAUCGAGGAAAUUUCUGAUCUUCCAGGUUUUGCCAUGGAGCAUGGUAUUAACAACAGUUGUCAUUCGUCCUUACAAUGGGGAUAUU
RNAcentral lists this unclassified non-coding RNA (6254 nucleotides) under Sitophilus oryzae (rice weevil). RNAcentral describes it as "uncharacterized LOC115890497, transcript variant X1". The record is from RNAcentral. Lineage: Eukaryota; Metazoa; Arthropoda; Insecta; Coleoptera; Curculionidae.